GUGGGGAAUCUUCCGCAAUGGACGAAAGUCUGACGGAGCAACGCCGCGUGAGUGAAGAAGGUUUUCGGAUCGUAAAGCUCUUUCGUUAGGGACGAACGUGCUCUUUGUGAAUAAUGAGGAGUAAUGACGGUACCUAAAUAAGAAGCCACGGCUAACUACGUGCCAGCAGCCGCGGUAAUACGUAGGUGGCAAGCGUUGUCCGGAAUUAUUGGGCGUAAAGCGCGCGCAGGCGGGAUAUCAAGUCUGUCUUAAAAGUGCGAGGCUCAACCUCGUGAGGGGACAGAAACUGGUAUUCUUGAGUGUCGGAGAGGAAAGUGGAAUUCCAAGUGUAGCGGUGAAAUGCGUAGAGAUUUGGAAGAACACCAGUGGCGAAGGCGACUUUCUGGACUGUGUCUGACGCUGAGAUGCGAAAGCCAGGGUAGCGAACGGGAUUAGAAACCCCUGUAGUCC
This 450-nucleotide ribosomal RNA is filed under the name uncultured bacterium. RNAcentral's name for it is "partial 16S ribosomal RNA". It matches the Rfam family "Bacterial small subunit ribosomal RNA", at positions 354 to 796 of the family's 1533-position model. The record is from RNAcentral.